GACGAACGCUGGCGGCGUGCUUAACACAUGCAAGUCGAACGGAAAGGCCCUGCUUUUGUGGGGUGCUCGAGUGGCGAACGGGUGAGUAACACGUGAGUAACCUGCCCUUGACUUUGGGAUAACUUCAGGAAACUGGGGCUAAUACCGGAUCGGAGCUCCUGCUGCAUGGUGGGGGUUGGAAAGUUUCGGCGGUUGGGGAUGGACGCGCGGCUUAUCAGCUUGGUGGUGGGGUAGUGGCUUACCAAGGCUUUGACGGGUAGCCGGCCUGAGAGGGUGACCGGCCACAUUGGGACUGAGAUACGGCCCAGACUCCUACGGGAGGCAGCAGUGGGGAAUAUUGCACAAUGGGCGGAAGCCUGAUGCAGCAACGCCGCGUGCGGGAUGACGGCCUUCGGGUUGUAAACCGCUUUCGCCUGUGACGAAGCGUGAGUGACGGUAAUGGGUAAAGAAGCACCGGCUAACUACGUG
This 468-nucleotide ribosomal RNA is filed under the name uncultured bacterium. RNAcentral's name for it is "partial 16S ribosomal RNA". It matches the Rfam family "Bacterial small subunit ribosomal RNA", at positions 28 to 507 of the family's 1533-position model. The record is from RNAcentral.